Molecule: long non-coding RNA, 1825 nt
Organism: Aedes aegypti (yellow fever mosquito)
Lineage: Eukaryota; Metazoa; Arthropoda; Insecta; Diptera; Culicidae
Exons: 3
Source: RefSeq, a predicted model, not a curated record
CGCUGCCGCCGCCGAAUCAGUCCAGUUUGGAACGUGAGUCGCAACGGUCGGAUUUUCGGGAAAACCUCCGGUUGUUUUGCGUGUGUUUUAUGUCGUGAGAAGAUUUUUAUUUGUCGGUGUAUGUGUGCGUGUUUAUGUCCGGUAUUAAGGUGCACGGUCGUCGUUCUCCCCAGGCUUUGACUUGUGCCGUUCUGUUACUUCUAGGGAGGGAGCCUCGCUGCGACCCCUUCGAGUCCGCCGUCCUUCGGUGUCCUCAAUCGCGCGCGUGAGACGACGUCUUCUGACGGGAAGAAGACGACGACGAGGUCAAAGGGUGGGACUUGGGAGCAGUGCGCGUCCAGAGAGAGUGGAACAAGAAGAGACUUGUGGGAAGUGCUUUUUCAGUUUGGGAAGCAGAGUGCUGGCUGAUGCGAUCACGGAACCAGCCGGAGAGAGCGUGAAGCUGUUUUGACGUUGUGUAUGUGCAUUUGCUAAACCAUGGUAUCUUAUGUUUACCCCAUUCUAUUCCGUGCCGUUUGAUGAACAUUUGACACAAUCUCCGCAGCUAUUUACGAUAAUCUUUCGCUUCUGUGUGCAUUUGUGACGAAGAGUGUCUGUUUUGUGACCAGGCUUUUGAUUCGAGACAUCGUGUCGGUUUUGCCUGUGCAAGAAACGCAUCACCGAUCUUUUGAGAGUGCCGAGGAACAGAAGAUUCUUUUGAAGCUUGAAUAACAUGCGUUUUCCGGCAGUGAUGGGCAGCGUUUGACAGAUGCUGCAUAUGAGGUUUGCACCGAGUACAGCAAAGGACUCAUCCAUCAAAGUGAAAAUCGAUCAGCUGACAUUGCGUACAGCAUACAUCCAUAAUAUAGUGCGUAGAAGUGAGAAGUGUGUGAGAGCAAACGGGCGGUGCGUGUAAUUUAUAUCGUGAAUUCGGAAGCGGAGCGAAACCUGCCGGAACCAAUUAGUGUAUAGAAACUAUCGGGAAGUGAUUAGGUGUACCCCAGUUUGGACAAAAAGGGACUGAAAAUCGGUGGAACGAAAAACUGCGCCAUCCCAAGAAGCAAGACAAAACAAAAAGUUGACCCACUAUCUCGCGUGUUUCAUCGUUUUCGUUCGGGUCGCGGGUUCAGUGUACGCUGCGGAAGAAGAAACUAAGUAGCCCGGAAGUAAGGUGCCACAGAAGAAAGCUAGCGUCGUCAACUAAGGCACUUUAUUGUGUAUCAAACGGGCGUCUGGUAGAUACUGGAAGUUGGGUAGAUGUGGUGCCAUCCCGAGCAGAAGAAGAAAGCGAAAUUAUAAAUGAUAAUCAUUAUCACCGUUGAAGUGUGAAAAAUCGCGGAAGUGAACAAAGGAAAACAAAUUCAAAAAGUGUCAACAGCGACUAAUCUCCAUUGCAGCGAGCAGUCUACAGAGUGUGACAAACGGUGCGUGAGAAGGAGGCGCGGUUUUUGAGUGCCAUGCACGAUUGUUUCGUGAUUUCAGACAACUGAUCAUUUGGUGCAAGUAGGCGUAGGAAGAGCGUGUUUAAUAGUGUUGUUAUUGUUGUUCGUUGCCAUCUUAGAAGGCGUUGUCGUCGAUUUGUGAAGCUUAAUACGAAAGUAGGCGAGGACAAGGAGGGGAAGGAAGGCGAUAAAGCCGAUAGCCAUGUGUCUGUGACGAUUUUCCAUCCAAGUGAAACUUUAAGCUCAACGGUGUGAUUUUUGUAGGUGGAGGUGAAGUGUGGGUGAAGCAGUAAACUUGAGUGUGGCGAAUGAUUAACGUCGAUUGUCGUGCCACGGUUGUUCUUCGACUGCGCACCGGUUUUUGGCAACGGUCGGUGGCCUUUGCCGACAAAUCUGUCUGAACC